AACGAACGCUGGCGGCAGGCCUAACACAUGCAAGUCGAGCGAGCAUUUCGGUGCUAGCGGCGGACGGGUGAGUAACGCGUGGGAACGUGCCCUUUUCUGCGGAAUAGUCCUGGGAAACUGGGGGUAAUACCGCAUACGCCCUUUUGGGGAAAGAUUUAUCGGAGAAGGAUCGGCCCGCGUUGGAUUAGGUAGUUGGUGGGGUAAUGGCCCACCAAGCCGACGAUCCAUAGCUGGUUUGAGAGGAUGAUCAGCCACACUGGGACUGAGACACGGCCCAGACUCCUACGGGAGGCAGCAGUGGGGAAUCUUAGACAAUGGGGGCAACCCUGAUUUAGCCAUGCCGCGUGAGUGAUGAAGGCCUUAGGGUUGUAAAGCUCUUUCAGCUGGGAAGAUAAUGACGGUACCAGCAGAAGAAGCCCCGGCUAACUCCGU
This 432-nucleotide ribosomal RNA is filed under the name uncultured bacterium. Its description in RNAcentral is "partial 16S ribosomal RNA". It matches the Rfam family "Bacterial small subunit ribosomal RNA", at positions 29 to 506 of the family's 1533-position model. The record is from RNAcentral.